RNAcentral lists this ribosomal RNA (444 nucleotides) under uncultured bacterium. RNAcentral describes it as "partial 16S ribosomal RNA". It matches the Rfam family "Bacterial small subunit ribosomal RNA", at positions 354 to 796 of the family's 1533-position model. The record is from RNAcentral.
GUUAGGAAUAUUGGACAAUGGGCGCAAGACUGACCCAGCCAUGCCGCGUGCAGGAAGACGGCCCUCUGGGUUGUAAACUGCUUUUAUCUGGGAAGAAAAAGGCCAUGCGUGGCAAAUUGCCGGUACCAGAUGAAUAAGCACCGGCUAACUCCGUGCCAGCAGCCGCGGUAAUACGGAGGGUGCGAGCGUUGUCCGGAUUUAUUGGGUUUAAAGGGUGCGUAGGCGGCUGAUUAAGUCAGCGGUGAAAGACUUCGGCUUAACCGGAGCAGUGCCGUUGAUACUGGUUGGCUUGAGUGUCGGAGGGGUACAUGGAAUUGAUGGUGUAGCGGUGAAAUGCAUAGAUACCAUCAGGAACACCGAUAGCGAAGGCAUUGUACUGGCCGACAACUGACGCUGAUGCACGAAAGUGUGGGGAUCGAACAGGAUUAGAAACCCUAGUAGUCC